AGAGUUUGAUCAUGGCUCAGGAUGAACGCUGGCGGCGUGCCUAAUACAUGCAAGUCGAACGAGUUCUGAUUAUUGAAAGGUGCUUGCAUCUUGAUUUAAUUUUGAACGAGUGGCGGACGGGUGAGUAACACGUGGGUAACCUGCCCUUAAGUGGGGGAUAACAUUUGGAAACAGAUGCUAAUACCGCAUAAAUCCAAGAACCGCAUGGUUCUUGGCUGAAAGAUGGCGCAAGCUAUCGCUUUUGGAUGGACCCGCGACGUAUUAGCUAGUUGGUGAGGUAACGGCUCACCAAGGCAAUGAUACGUAGCCGAACUGAGAGGUUGAUCGGCCACAUUGGGACUGAGACACGGCCCAAACUCCUACGGGAGGCAGCAGUAGGGAAUCUUCCACAAUGGACGCAGGUCUGAUGGAGCAACGCCGCGUGAGUGAAGAAGGCUUUCGGGUCGUAAAACUCUGUUGUUGGAGAAGAAUGGUCGGCAGAGUAACUGUUGUCGGCGUGACGGUAUCCAACCAGAAAGCCGCGGCUAACUACGUGCCAGCAGCCGCGGUAAUACGUAGGUGGCAAGCGUUAUCCGGAUUUAUUGGGCGUAAAGCGAGCGCAGGCGGUUUUUUAAGUCUGAUGUGAAAGCCCUCGGCUUAACCGAGGAAGUGCAUCGGAAACUGGGAAACUUGAGUGCAGAAGAGGACAGUGGAACUCCAUGUGUAGCGGUGAAAUGCGUAGAUAUAUGGAAGAACACCAGUGGCGAAGGCGGCUGUCUGGUCUGUAACUGACGCUGAGGCUCGAAAGCAUGGGUAGCGAACAGGAUUAGAUACCCUGGUAGUCCAUGCCGUAAACGAUGAAUGCUAGGUGUUGGAGGGUUUCCGCCCUUCAGUGCCGCAGCU
This 882-nucleotide ribosomal RNA is filed under the name uncultured bacterium. RNAcentral's name for it is "bacterial SSU rRNA". It matches the Rfam family "Bacterial small subunit ribosomal RNA", at positions 8 to 853 of the family's 1533-position model. The record is from RNAcentral.